CCUACGGGAGGCAGCAGUGGGGCAUAUUGCACAAUGGGGGAAACCCUGAUGCAGCGACGCCGCGUGAGUGCAGAAGUAUUUCGGUAUGUAAAGCUCUAUCAGCAGGGAAGAAAAUGACGGUACCUGAUUAAGAAGCCCCGGCUAACUACGUGCCAGCAGCCGCGGUAAUAUGUAGGGGGCCAGCGUUAUCCGGAUUUACUGGGGGUAAAGGGAGCGUAGAGGGCAGCACAAGUCUGUGGUGAAAGGCCGGGGCUUAACCCCGGAACUGCGUUGGAAACUGUGCAGCUAGAGUGCAGGAGAGGUAAGUGGAAUUCCUAGUGUAGCGGUGAAAUGCGUAGAUAUUAGGAGGAACACCAGUGGAGAAGGCGGCUUACUGAACUGUAACUGACGUUGAGGCUCGAAAGCGUGGGGAGCAAACAGGAGUAGAUACCCCUGUAGUC
This 440-nucleotide ribosomal RNA is filed under the name uncultured bacterium. Its description in RNAcentral is "partial 16S ribosomal RNA". It matches the Rfam family "Bacterial small subunit ribosomal RNA", at positions 338 to 795 of the family's 1533-position model. The record is from RNAcentral.